Molecule: ribosomal RNA, 253 nt
Filed under: uncultured bacterium
Lineage: Bacteria
Description: partial 16S ribosomal RNA
Rfam family: Bacterial small subunit ribosomal RNA
Source: RNAcentral
UACGUAUGGGGCAAGCGUUAUCCGGAUUUACUGGGUGUAAAGGGAGCGUAGGCGGCAGGGCAAGCCUGAUGUGAAAGCCCGGGGCUCAACCCCGGGACUGCAUUGGGAACUGCCCUGCUGGAGUGCCGGAGGGGCAGGCGGAAUUCCUAGUGUAGCGGUGAAAUGCGUAGAUAUUAGGAGGAACACCAGUGGCGAAGGCGGCUUUCUGGACUGUAACUGACACUGAGGUACGAAAGCGUGGGGAGCAAACAGG